AAGUAAGUAUCUCAGCAAAUUUUGUCGCGCAUGAUUCAACCAGCGAAUGCUGAAGAAACUACAUCGCUAUGAACGACGUGGUCGCGGGUUCGAGUCCCGUCCGCUCCA
RNAcentral lists this transfer RNA (108 nucleotides) under Chitinivorax tropicus. RNAcentral's name for it is "tRNA-His". The record is from RNAcentral. Lineage: Bacteria; Pseudomonadati; Pseudomonadota; Betaproteobacteria.